RNAcentral lists this ribosomal RNA (459 nucleotides) under uncultured Pelotomaculum sp. RNAcentral describes it as "bacterial SSU rRNA". It matches the Rfam family "Bacterial small subunit ribosomal RNA", at positions 923 to 1382 of the family's 1533-position model. The record is from RNAcentral. Lineage: Bacteria; Bacillati; Bacillota; Clostridia; Eubacteriales; Desulfotomaculaceae.
GCACAAGCGGUGGAGCAUGUGGUUUAAUUCGACGCAACGCGAAGAACCUUACCAGGGCUUGACACUCCCUGACCGCGUAUGAAAGUACGUUUUCACCUCGGGUGACAGGGAGACAGGUGGUGCAUGGUUGUCGUCAGCUCGUGUCGUGAGAUGUUGGGUUAAGUCCCGCAACGAGCGCAACCCCUACGUUUAGUUGCUAACGCGUGAAGGCGAGCACUCUAGACGAACUGCCGUUGACAAAACGGAGGAAGUGGGAUGACGUCAAAUCAUCAUGCCCCUUAUGUUCUGGGCUACACACGUGCUACAAUGGCCGGUACAGACGGACGCAAAGCCGCGAGGUGGAGCAAAUCCUAAAAAGCCGGUCUCAGUUCGGAUUGCAGGCUGCAAUUCGCCUGCAUGAAGUCGGAAUCGCUAGUAAUCGCAGGUCAGCAUACUGCGGUGAAUACGUUCCCGGGCCUU